Molecule: long non-coding RNA, 212 nt
Filed under: Selaginella moellendorffii
Lineage: Eukaryota; Viridiplantae; Streptophyta; Lycopodiopsida; Selaginellales; Selaginellaceae
Description: long non-coding RNA (SMOE_LNC001875)
Source: RNAcentral
CCCGCCUGCCACGUGGCACGGAAAAGGGGGGGAGGGGGAAAAAAAAGUGGCCCGGAAUGUCUGGGGCCCAAAACGCGCGAUUUUUCGCGAAAAGUUGGAAAGGUACCACGUGUUCCGCGGGCUUUUUUUGGGGCCCGAAACGCGUGAUUUUUCACGAAAAGUCGGGGAGGUACCCCACAUUUCGCGGGGCGCGUUUUGGGGCCCAAAACGCG